AGAGGAGGGGAGAGGCGAGGAGGGAAGAAAGGGAGGAAGGGUUGGCCACUAGAGGUUGUCACAGCAUCACCUCUGACCAUUGCUGUGUUUCAGUUCAGGGUCUGCGUCCUUCGGUGGACCCGGCCUUUGCGGUCAUCGAAGGCGAGUCCUUCGGAGAGACCUGCGAGGCCGCGUAAACCGUUGUUAAAUGGGACGGUCUAGCCCUCGGGAGUAUUUCCUGGCUGCGUCAACAGUUUUUUCCGUCCCUACCGAUGCGUCACUAUUUAUGCAGCCCAGGUCCGCGAAAGUGACAAGAAGAGUACAGUUUGACUAUCAAAUAUGUUUGGGCUACAGGAAUUCCUGAUUUCGUGUUUAAUCCUUCUUGUGGAGGAAAAGGAAAAGCGUCUCUGGUUUAUCUCCUUUUGAGAGAGGACCAUGGAGAGGAAAUGUGUUGCUGAGAUUCACAGUUCACACACUUCUGUACACCUUUGUCACCAGUUCCCGGUCCAAGUUCAUCCAGUUCUGCUCGACUCCUACCCUGCACUGCCUCUGCCACCUCGCAGUCAAGCGUCAUUGAGUCCAUCUUUGGCCCAGCUCCGACGCUGAAGUGAACUAAAAUUUACAAACUGAAAAACUAAAUUGAAAUAAAAACAAAUGAAAAUUGUAAAACUAUAAUAGCCCUGACACACACUACUCACUCCAUUCUUCAUUGUUUGAGCUGCUCUAUGAAUGGCAAUACAUUUGGUCAAGUAAUUCUGGGACCACACAUUUCCUUACUUUUUCAUACUUCAUGUAGGUUUUAGGUUUAGUUCAAAAGGGCCUUAAAAUGGUCUUAAAAAGUCUUAAAUUUGACUUGUUCAAACCUGCAGAAACCCUGUCCUAUUUAAAGUGUUUGGUGUAUAGUUGUGUUUGUAUUUUAGUUAUUAUUAUUAUUAUUAUUAUUAUUAUUAUUAUUAUUAUUAUUAUUAUUAUUAUUAUUAUUAUUAUUAAUCAUAAUAAUCAUAAUAAUAAAAAAAUAUAAUUCUUUCCUCUUUCUUAAAAAAUUCUUAGUGUCAUGACAGACUUCAAUCGAGAACCAGAACUGCAAACCCAGUUGAUGGACGAUGUGGAAAGACAGUGGUGACUAGACCCCAAGCACCCUGAGUACUGACCCAGAUGACGGCCUACUGACAACAAGGUCUUUACUGUGGCAUCCCAUCCAGCCCAGCAGCACUGCCAAGGACUCCUGUUCAGCCUAUAACUGUCCAUCAUUUGGAACUGCUUUAAUAUUGUUUUUAUAAUUGUUUGAGUUCAUUGUUGAUAAUAAUCAUAUUACAGUUUUUUUUGAUUGCAUAAACACUAAAAUCAAACGUCGUACACAAUUAUGAAAACCUUACACUCAAGGAGCAAAACUCCGGACCAGAUUAGCACAACUAUAAGCACAAUGUCAGCAUCACACUUUUUGCAAAUGACUGCACACAGUAAUUUGCAAAACACUAAACGCACUUGUGUACAUUAGACACAGAUGCAUAUCAUGAUGUCACUUCCUUGCAAAUUCCAAAGCACUGACUUUCAAAUGACCACACUCAUUAUCUAAUUGGUUAAACACAACACUCAGGUUCACCAACACAUGAUUGCUUGAUUGUAGACACACCAAUCAGGUUCAAGCACUACAAAAAGCCUUCCACCACAAUGGAACGAGUAAGACGAGGAGGAGUAAGAAUGAGAGGAGGAAUUCAAAGAGAAGGAGAAGGAGGUGAAGGCAGAGGCCAUGCCAGGUGGAGGAAGAGGAAGAGGACGAGGCAGAGGAAGACCGGAAGCAGGAAUACAUGCCCUAUGAAGGAGAGGACCAAAUUUAUCAAAUGAAAUUCGGGCAGCAUUAUUUGAACAUGUGGUGAACCACGGACUGACGCUGAGGGAGGCUGGACUGAGAGUUCAGCCAAAUCUUAGCAGAUAUAUAGUGGCAUCUGUGAUCAGGACAUUUCAACAAGAAAACAGGAUUCAGGUUCGAGAGUGACAAGGAGGGAAGGGGCCUUUUUUCAGACAAGAACAAGAAAGAGCAAUCACAAACAUGGUUGUGGCCAAUAUGCAAUAACUCUCGGAGAAAUUCACGGCAGUUCUUCCCUCGUUGUCUUGCUAAUGAAGAUAUCGCCUGUGAUAUCGACGAAAUUCUCUGGCCUGAUCCAGCUUGGCGAGAUAAUCCCUAAUAUUUUCCCUGCUGGAUUUUCUUUUCUUUUUUUGUCAGUACCUAGUAAAUAAAUAAUAUUUUCAUCACUCUUCA
Molecule: long non-coding RNA, 2239 nt
Organism: Acanthopagrus latus (yellowfin seabream)
Lineage: Eukaryota; Metazoa; Chordata; Actinopteri; Spariformes; Sparidae
Exons: 3
Source: RefSeq, a predicted model, not a curated record